UACGUAGGGUACAAGCGUUGUCCGGAAUUAUUGGGCGUAAAGGGCUCGUAGGCGGUCUGUCACGUCGGGAGUGAAAACUCGGGGCUUAACCCCGAGCCUGCUUCCGAUACGGGCAGACUAGAGGUAUGCAGGGGAGAAUGGAAUUCCUGGUGUAGCGGUGAAAUGCGCAGAUAUCAGGAGGAACACCAAUAGCGAAGGCAGCUCGCUGGGACGUUACUGACACUGAGGCGCGAAAGCGUGGGGAGCGAACAGG
This 253-nucleotide ribosomal RNA is filed under the name uncultured bacterium. RNAcentral's name for it is "partial 16S ribosomal RNA". It matches the Rfam family "Bacterial small subunit ribosomal RNA", at positions 524 to 776 of the family's 1533-position model. The record is from RNAcentral.